GGGAGCUUGCUCCGCUGACGAGUGGCGAACGGGUGAGUAAUGCAUCGGAACGUACCCAGUCGUGGGGGAUAACGUAGCGAAAGUUACGCUAAUACCGCAUACGUCCUGAGGGAGAAAGCGGGGGACCGUAAGGCCUCGCGCGAUUGGAGCGGCCGAUGUCGGAUUAGCUAGUUGGUAGGGUAAAGGCCUACCAAGGCGACGAUCCGUAGCGGGUCUGAGAGGAUGAUCCGCCACACUGGGACUGAGACACGGCCCAGACUCCUACGGGAGGCAGCAGUGGGGAAUUUUGGACAAUGGGCGAAAGCCUGAUCCAGCCAUGCCGCGUGAGUGAAGAAGGCCUUCGGGUUGUAGAGCUCUUUCAGCCGGAAAGAAAUCGCGCAGGAUAAUACUCUGCGUGGAUGACGGUACCGGAAGAAGAAGCACCGGCUAACUACGUGCCAGCAGCCGCGGUAAUCCGUAGGGUGCGAGCGUUAAUCGGAAUUACUGGGCGUAAAGCGUGCGCAGGCGGUUAUGUAAGACAGAUGUGAAAUCCCCGGGCUCAACCUGGGAACUGCGUUUGUGACUGCAUAACUAGAGUACGGCAGAGGGAGGUGGAAUUUCCGCGUGUAGCAGUGAAAUGCGUAGAUAUGCGGAGGAACACCGAUGGCGAAGCAGCUCCUGGGCCAGUACU
Molecule: ribosomal RNA, 670 nt
Filed under: uncultured bacterium
Lineage: Bacteria
Description: bacterial SSU rRNA
Rfam family: Bacterial small subunit ribosomal RNA
Source: RNAcentral